AUGAAAAGGCAACAACGUAAAUCCAAUGAGGACACUGGCUCCAAUUACUAUUCGCCCCUUACGUAUUUAAACGAUCCCCAGGGUUUUGCAGAGAAACUCUUCUGUCGGCUACAGAAAUGCAAUGAACGAUUUGAGGCAAGGAUGAUGAUGUUGAAGGUCAUAGCAAGGACUAUUGGGCUGCAUCACUUGGUUUUGUUGAACUUUUAUCCAUAUCUUCAAAGACAUUUUCAACCUCAUCAACGUGAUGUGACCACUCUACUUGCUGCAGCAGUACAGGCUUGCCAUGAGAUGUUGAAAUACAACAAAAUUAAUUUGUCUCGAUUGCAGGUGCCUCCUGAUGCUGUUGAUCGUUCCCGUCCGGAGGUUUGCAUGACUCGCUUAUUCAUCUUUUGUAAUGUGUGUUUUCCUGACUAA
This 414-nucleotide ribosomal RNA is filed under the name Triticum aestivum (bread wheat). Its description in RNAcentral is "partial small subunit ribosomal RNA". Lineage: Eukaryota; Viridiplantae; Streptophyta; Magnoliopsida; Poales; Poaceae. The record is from RNAcentral.